This 465-nucleotide ribosomal RNA is filed under the name uncultured bacterium. RNAcentral describes it as "partial 16S ribosomal RNA". It matches the Rfam family "Bacterial small subunit ribosomal RNA", at positions 28 to 507 of the family's 1533-position model. The record is from RNAcentral.
GACGAACGCUGGCGGCGUGCUUAACACAUGCAAGUCGAACGGUAAGGCUCCAGCUUGCUGGGGUACACGAGUGGCGAACGGGUGAGUAACACGUGGGUGACCUGCCCUGCACUUCGGGAUAAGCCUGGGAAACUGGGUCUAAUACCGGAUAGGACUGCACCGUGAGGGUGUGGUGGAAAGUUUUUUCGGUGUGGGAGGGGCCCGCGGCCUCUCAGCUUGUUGGUGGGGUAAUGGCCUACCAAGGCGGCGACGGGUAGCCGGCCUGAGAGGGUGGACGGCCACAUUGGGACUGAGAAACGGCCCAGACUCCUACGGGAGGAAGCAGUGGGGAAUAUUGCACAAUGGGCGGAAGCCUGAUGCGGCGCCGCCGCGUGGGGGAUGACGGCCUUCGGGUUGUAAACUCCUUUCACCAUCGACGAAGGGUUUCUGACGGUAGAUGGAGAAGAAGCACCGGCUAACUACGUG